AUGGCGAGCGACGAGGGUUCCUGGAGGCUGGCGGGUGAGAACAGGGUGGUCAGCGUGAAGCGUGCUGGCAGGAAUAAGGCGACGUCCGUGGUCUUCGGCUCCGGCUCGGAGAGGGCUAUCGUGGGGAAAGCCCCGGCGGUCGACCAGAUGACCAAGAAGAAGAAGACAAGGAGCAAGGGGCUGCCGCAAGCGACACCGACUACAGGCAAGCGUCUCCUACCGUACGAGGAGAUCAUGACGAUCAUGUCCAUGAAUGACGAGCCACGCGAGAGCGACACCGCAGAGCACAAGAAGGUUGUGGCCAAGUGGCUUGAGUUUCAGGAGGAGGUGAAGCGAGAGUACAUGGCCAAGGGCUACGUGGAGAUGGAUGAGAAGGACUUCGUCGAGAGAGAGAAGAGGAAGCUGCUGCUCAAGGAGGCGUGGGACAAGAUCGACUUCGGCGGGCUCGUCUUCCUCGACUCAGACGACGACAGCUAUGUCGUGAAAGAUCAGGGUGGCCCUCGUUGGGCAGACGGGAUCAUCCAGGAGUAA
Molecule: ribosomal RNA, 531 nt
Filed under: Triticum aestivum (bread wheat)
Lineage: Eukaryota; Viridiplantae; Streptophyta; Magnoliopsida; Poales; Poaceae
Description: partial small subunit ribosomal RNA
Source: RNAcentral